Molecule: transfer RNA, 64 nt
Filed under: Prosopocoilus astacoides
Lineage: Eukaryota; Metazoa; Arthropoda; Insecta; Coleoptera; Lucanidae
Also listed under: 1 other name
Description: tRNA-Leu
Source: RNAcentral
AUUACUUUGGCAGAGUAGUGCAGUAAAUUUAGAAUUUACGUAUGUAUGGUGAAUACAGGUAAUA